GUGGCAGUGGUAAGCAAUUUCGUGUGUAGGCCUGUCACGAUAACAAAUUUUGCUGGACAAUAAAUUGUCCCAGAAACGAUCGCAAUAAACAAUAAU
Molecule: long non-coding RNA, 96 nt
Organism: Etheostoma spectabile (orangethroat darter)
Lineage: Eukaryota; Metazoa; Chordata; Actinopteri; Perciformes; Percidae
Exons: 3
Source: RefSeq, a predicted model, not a curated record